GGACAUGAGGGUGAUAUAGCUGCAAUGUGUCACCCCACUGACCACCAGGGUUGAUUUGGCUGUAUUAAGUGUGUGUCCCUUCCUCCUUCACCACUCCAUUAUGUCCUUACCAAAGAUAUGCACUCAAUCAAUGUGGAAGACCUUCCCUGAUAGUGGAGGGAGGGCUAUCUUUUGGUCAACGGUAUGCUAGAACCUCCUCACAAGCUCUCAAGAAAUUGCUUUAUUGAGACAACAUUCACAUACGAGACAAUUCAUUAUUUAAAGCAUACAAUUCACAUGAACAUGUCAUACACAUAUGUA
Molecule: small nuclear RNA, 300 nt
Filed under: Jaculus jaculus (lesser Egyptian jerboa)
Lineage: Eukaryota; Metazoa; Chordata; Mammalia; Rodentia; Dipodidae
Description: 7SK RNA (ENSJJAG00000002324.1)
Rfam family: 7SK RNA
About the family: 7SK was discovered as an abundant small nuclear RNA in the mid-70s but a possible function has only recently been suggested. Two independent studies have found that 7SK RNA binds the CDK9/cyclin T complex (known as elongation factor P-TEFb).
Source: Rfam by way of RNAcentral